This 1835-nucleotide long non-coding RNA is filed under the name Elaeis guineensis (African oil palm). RNAcentral describes it as "long non-coding RNA (EGUI_LNC034663)". Lineage: Eukaryota; Viridiplantae; Streptophyta; Magnoliopsida; Arecales; Arecaceae. The record is from RNAcentral.
UGUACUAGUCUAUCCGAAUCAAUCACCAUCCCCAUGAUGAUCCUAUGAUCAGGAGCAAUUUAAAAAUUAAGCAUCAAUGACAUAUACCUCAAAUUCUUAACUCUUUGAGAAUAUGUGUCAUCAUCUUGUUAAUCUCUUGGAUGAUUCAUGGACAUAUAAACAUGAAUGAUAAUAUAACUGCCCAAUAAAUACAAAAUUAUGUCUUAAAGAUAUGAAAUGUAUCAGCCAAGAUUGGUUUCUAGGGCAUACAUCCAACAAUCUCCCACUUGCACUAAAGCCAAUCUGCCAUGUACCAUGCCCCAUCUUCAUAAGACAGGCUAUAGUUUUAGGCUAGCUAAGUGACUUAUCAGUGGGUCAUCCACAUCACAUGUGAAGUUUGCUCUCUGCACCUCUAUGUAUUUCUACUUAAGGUAGUCACGUGUUCUGCUAUUCUAUGUGCUUAGAUAUCUGGUGAUACCUAGGCUCCUUAGCAAAAGCUAUGGUGCCAUUAUCUUUGCAGUAUAAUGUCACGGCAUCUGAUGGCAUGACAAUCAAUUCUGCAACUAAUAUUAAAAUCAGAAUAUAUCCUACACAUCUAUAGUGUAUUCAGCUUCCAUCGAUCGAUUAUUUGGAAUCCUUCCAAAAAUAUUGACAUAGGAACACACCUAUGAUGUAGACAUUCUACGAUCAAUAUCAGAUAUAAAAUCUGAAUUGGUGUAUCCUCCCACUUCUAGCUUUGAUCCUUCUCCAAAUUAAGAACAUAUCCUUAGUUCUUCUCAAGAGCUUAAAGUUAUUUUCAUAGCAAUCUAGCACUCACAGCCUGGAUUCAACUGAUAUCCACUCGUGACAUUCACGGUAUUAUUUAUAUCAGUUCAAGUAUAUUAUGGCAUACGACUAUGUUCGAGAGGGUAGCAGAUCUCUCUCUGAGAUUUUUAUACUGAAAUCUUUCAGCAUCCAGUCUCUGUACUUUAUCUGUGAAAAUACAAGCAUCUAAUUGCAUCUAUUACUAUAGAUCUUUAGGACACUCGAUUUAUAUCUUUUAUGAAAAAAUCUAUAUUCAACCAUAUUUUAACCACUAUCAGUAUUGGAUACCCCCAAUGACCCUUUUGAAAAUCAUAAUUCCUCUUUUCUGAUCAAACAACUUGAUCAUGUCAUCAAAUGACUUAUUCCAAUUCUAAGAUUAUUAUUGACUUUGUGAUCACCUAUCACAAGAAGUGAAAUCUAUAGGCUAUUCUAUAUAAAAAUCUUCAAAAGAUCUCUACUCAAAAAAGCUAUUUCACAUCCUUUCUUGAAGUCGAUGUCUCACAUCACCUCAUUGUAGGUUCUGAAAUCAUCUCUAUGCUCCCAUCUCCCAUGAGAAACGACUUUCUCUAUAUCCUCUGUCAAGCAUACCCGAGUACCUUUCGAGAGGAUUGAAGAUCCUACUAUGUGUACGAGGCGGAGGAGGAAUAUCCAUCUACUGGCUUAUAAUGAAUAAGUUCUUAAAGUCCCAAAGCUCGCUGCUCUUCAAAGACACUCUUUUUGAGCUUAACUUUCCUUCCACUGCUUUAUCUUGGUUAAAUAAUUUUUCAAGAAGAUAGCAUGUCGGGUCACAAUCAUAUUGUAAUCUUUUCAGAAAGUAGUAUCCCAAACUCUUUUAGGAUGAGCUUUAUAGACCUAUUCUCUAACAUAUCUACCUGCUGUCCUAGACAUAGGCUGGAUAUCUUUGAAUCUCAAAAUAAUCAAUAUUCAGUUCUCACCAUAUGUCAUAUCUCAUAUGGUGUGGUAAGAACAGGUUUAGAGAGAACCUAAUUUCAUAGAAAUAAAGCAUGUCCCUAAAGAAAUAUAAAUCAAUGAAGUCCAUUAUGGACCAGACC